UCAUGAUUGCGGGGGGACUCGUCCUGAGUUGAGAAGGUAAAACCUGACCCUUUGAACCUGUUAGUUAAUACUGACGUAGGGAGCAAUACAUCUUGUUAU
This 99-nucleotide non-coding RNA is filed under the name Lysinibacillus sphaericus. RNAcentral's name for it is "TPP sequence". It matches the Rfam family "TPP riboswitch aptamer (THI element)". Rfam says of the family: Vitamin B(1) in its active form thiamin pyrophosphate (TPP) is an essential coenzyme that is synthesised by coupling of pyrimidine and thiazole moieties in bacteria. The previously detected thiamin-regulatory element, thi box was extended, resulting in a new, highly conserved RNA secondary structure, the THI element, which is widely distributed in eubacteria and also occurs in some archaea. Analysis of operon structures identified a large number of new candidate thiamin-regulated genes, mostly transporters, in various prokaryotic organisms. Lineage: Bacteria; Bacillati; Bacillota; Bacilli; Caryophanales; Bacillaceae. The record is from RNAcentral.